UUGAGGCUCUACAAAUCGGCGUGUUCU
This 27-nucleotide non-coding RNA is filed under the name Mus musculus (house mouse). Lineage: Eukaryota; Metazoa; Chordata; Mammalia; Rodentia; Muridae. The record is from RNAcentral.